AAUACGGAAGGUGCAAGCGUUAAUCGGAAUUACUGGGCGUAAAGCGCGCGUAGGUGGUUUGUUAAGUUGGAUGUGAAAGCCCUGGGCUCAACCUAGGAACUGCAUCCAAAACUAACUCACUAGAGUACGAUAGAGGGAGGUAGAAUUCAUAGUGUAGCGGUGGAAUGCGUAGAUAUUAUGAAGAAUACCAGUGGCGAAGGCGGCCUCCUGGAUCUGUACUGACACUGAGGUGCGAAAGCGUGGGUAGCGAACAGGAUUAGAUACCCUGGUAGUCCACGCCGUAAACGAUGACAACUAGCUGUUGGGAGACAAUGUCUUUCAGUGGCGCAGCUAACGUUUUAAGUUGUCCGCCUGGGGAGUACGGCCGCAAGGCUAAAACUCAAAUGAAUUGACGGGGACCCGCACAAGCGGUGGAGCAUGUGGUUUAAUUCGAUGCAACGCGAAAAACCUUACCUACUCUUGACAUACUUGGAAGCUCUUGUAAUGAGAGUGUGCCUUUUGGAGCCAAGAUACAGGUGCUGCAUGGCUGUCGUCAGCUCGUGUCGUGAGAUGUUCCGUUAAGUCGGAUAACGAGCGCAACCCUUACCCUUAUUUGCCAGCGAUUCGGUCGGGAACUAUAAGGGGACUGCCGGUGAUAAACCGGAGGAAGGUGAGGACGACGUCAAGUCAUCAUGGCCCAUACGAGUAGGGCUACACACGUGCUACAAUGGGGAAUACAGACGGACGCUAAGCCGCGAGGUGGUGCUAAUCCUAGAAAAUUCUUCGUAGUCCGGAUUGGAGUCUGCAACUCGACUCCAUGAAGUCGGAAUCGCUAGUAAUCGCGAAUCAGCAUGUCGCGGUGAAUACGUUCUCGGGUCUUGUACACACCGCCCGUCACACCAUGGAAGUGGAUUGCACCAGAAGUAGAUAGUCUAACCUUCGGGAGGGCGUUUACCACGGUGUGCUUCAU
This 949-nucleotide ribosomal RNA is filed under the name uncultured bacterium. RNAcentral's name for it is "bacterial SSU rRNA". It matches the Rfam family "Bacterial small subunit ribosomal RNA", at positions 522 to 1472 of the family's 1533-position model. The record is from RNAcentral.